ACGGGAGGCAGCAGUGGGGAAUAUUGGGCAAUGGGCGCAAGCCUGAACCAGCCAUGCCGCGUGAAGGAAUAAGGCCCUAUGGGUCGUAAACUUCUUUUGACGGGAGCAAUAAGGCGUACGUGUACGCCGAUGAGAGUACUCGUCGAAUAAGCAUCGGCUAACUCCGUGCCAGCAGCCGCGGUAAUACGGAGGAUGCGAGCGUUAUCCGGAUUUAUUGGGUUUAAAGGGUGCGUAGGCGGCCCCUUAAGUCGGCGGUGAAAUUUCCGGGCUCAACCCGGUCACUGCCGUCGAAACUGGGGGGCUUGAGUGCGUUUGGGGUGGCUGGAAUGUGCGGUGUAGCGGUGAAAUGCAUAGAUAUCGCACAGAACGCCGAUCGCGGAGGCAGGUCACCAAGCCGCAACUGACGCUGAGGCACGAAAGCGCGGGGAUCGAACAGGAUUAGAUACCCUGGUA
RNAcentral lists this ribosomal RNA (453 nucleotides) under uncultured bacterium. RNAcentral describes it as "partial 16S ribosomal RNA". It matches the Rfam family "Bacterial small subunit ribosomal RNA", at positions 341 to 792 of the family's 1533-position model. The record is from RNAcentral.